This 305-nucleotide ribosomal RNA is filed under the name uncultured bacterium. Its description in RNAcentral is "bacterial SSU rRNA". It matches the Rfam family "Bacterial small subunit ribosomal RNA", at positions 334 to 655 of the family's 1533-position model. The record is from RNAcentral.
UGUACCUACGGGGGGAAGCAGUGGGGAAUAUUGCACAAUGGGGGAAACCCUGAUGCAGCAACGCCGCGUGAGUGAAGAAGUAUUUCGGUAUGUAAAGCUCUAACAGCAGGGAAGAAGAAAGACGGUACCUGACUAAGAAGCCCCGGCUAACUACGUGCCAGCAGCCGCGGUAAUACGUAGGGAGCAAGCGUUAUCCGGAUUUAUUGGGUGUAAAGGGUGCGUGGACGGGAAAUUAAGUUAGUUGUGAAAUCCCUCGGCUCAACUGAGGAACUGCAACUAAAACUGAUUUUCUUGAGUGCAGGAGG